This 493-nucleotide non-coding RNA is filed under the name Pan troglodytes (chimpanzee). The record is from RNAcentral. Lineage: Eukaryota; Metazoa; Chordata; Mammalia; Primates; Hominidae.
AGACGGAGUUUCGCUUUUGUUGCCCAGGCUGGAGUGCAAUGGCAUGAUCUCAGCUCACUGCAACCUCCGCCUCCUGGAUUCAAGUGAUUCUCCUGCCUCAGCCUCCCAAGUAGCUGGGAUUACAGGCAUGCGCCACCACGCCCGGCUAAUUUUGUAUUUUUAGUAGAGACAGGAUUUCUCCAUGUUGGUCAGGCUCGUCUCGAACUCCCGACCGCAGGUCAUCUGCCCGUCUCGGUCUCCCAAAGUGCUGGGAUUACAGGUGUGAACCGCUGCACUCGGCUCUGGACUUUUCUUACACAUUUAUUUACACAGGGAUGGAUGGAGCUGUCGUGGGGUCCUGGGUGGGGCUGCCCUGAGCAUGCCUCCGGGGCAGGGUGGGCACUCACGUGGUGAUCUUGAGGACGUCCUUCAUGCUGGUCAGCGGGUCCGAGUUGUCAGGGCAGCGCAGGAGGCAGGGUGCGAAGAUAAUGGCCAGCGCCCCAGGCGACAUGCG